This is a small nuclear RNA of Ochotona princeps (American pika), 182 nucleotides long. RefSeq annotates it as U2 spliceosomal RNA. Lineage: Eukaryota; Metazoa; Chordata; Mammalia; Lagomorpha; Ochotonidae. The transcript has a single exon. The record is from RefSeq and is a predicted model, not a curated record.
AUUGCUUCCCGGCCUUUUGGCUAAGAUCAAGCGUAGUAUCUGUUCUUAUCAGAAUUGCCCGAAACCUAACGAAGUUUCCCCAUAUUUUGUGCUGUCUUAAGAAUAUACCAACUGUAAUAGACUUUUUGCUGACUAAAAGUUAUAACCAUAAAAAUUUGUUUUUGUACUCUGUGGGAGUUCUU